This 375-nucleotide ribosomal RNA is filed under the name uncultured bacterium. RNAcentral describes it as "bacterial SSU rRNA". It matches the Rfam family "Bacterial small subunit ribosomal RNA", at positions 521 to 896 of the family's 1533-position model. The record is from RNAcentral.
UAAUACGAAGGGGGCAAGCGUUGUUCGGAAUGACUGGGCGUAAAGGGCGCGUAGGCGGUUCGUUGCGUCAGAUGUGAAAGCCCCGGGCUCAACCUGGGAACUGCAUUUGAUACGGGCGGGCUUGAAUCCAAGAGAGGGUGGUGGAAUUCCCAGUGUAGAGGUGAAAUUCGUAGAUAUUGGGAAGAACACCAGUGGCGAAGGCGGCCACCUGGCUUGGUAUUGACGCUGAGGCGCGAAAGCGUGGGGAGCAAACAGGAUUAGAUACCCUGGUAGUCCACGCCGUAAACGAUGUGUGCUAGCCGUCGGGCAGCUUGCUGUUCGGUGGCGCAGCUAACGCGAUAAGCACACCGCCUGGGGAGUACGGUCGCAAGAUUA